This 4050-nucleotide long non-coding RNA is filed under the name Fukomys damarensis (Damara mole-rat). RNAcentral's name for it is "lncRNA (ENSFDAG00000032658.1)". Lineage: Eukaryota; Metazoa; Chordata; Mammalia; Rodentia; Bathyergidae. The record is from RNAcentral.
AUGUACUCACUUGGGUGCAGGCCGACAGGGCGACAAAACCAUCCGUGGCAAAGAAAGAAAAGGCAAAAAGUCAAAUACAGAGGGGUGCAAGACAUCUGUGCAUACACAAGAGACCCGAAGAACCCAGCCAAGCUCCUGGAUCCCACAGCAAUGUCCCACUCGAGUCAGCCUGAGGCCUACGGCCCCCAGCAAUGUCUCUUCAAGUCCCUAUCGAGGAUCUGCACUGGGAAGGCCCAAAGGCCAGGGGCGGAAGCCAGAAAGCCUUGCACAGGCAGGGUGAAGGAUCUGUGCCACCAGAUUGAGGGAUCUGCACUGGAGCCAGGAAGCGACACUCAAGGCGAAGACUAGGGCUCCCCUGAUGACAGAUAUUCCUAGAGACGGCGAGCUCCUGAACUCCGACUAUUAAAGAACAGCCAGCCGGGUGUUGUGGCCCACGCCUGUAAUCCCAGCACUCGGGAGGCUGAGGCGGGAGGAUCGCUGUGAAUUCGAGACCAGCCUGGGCUACGUAGUGAGUUCCAGGUCAGUCUCAACUACAUAGUGAGACCCCGUCUCAAAAAAAAAAAAAAUAAAUAAAUAAAAAAGAGAACAGCCAAGUUCGCCUCAGGAAAACCAGCCGCAACAAGCCUCUCCAGGAAAAUCAACAGCAUAACAGAAUAUAGUCUUUCCCUUCAGUUCUCCUUUUAUGUCCUCAACAAUCCUUCCACACCCAGAACCGCAUUCCAAGAACUGGCCAGAACUGGCCGUUCCAAGUUGACCACUGGUCACUCCACCACACUAUCUAAAACCUAGUGAUACAUGAUUUAUUAUCCUUAAAUUUACCAAAUCUAUCUCAUCCACUUUCAGGACUGAGGACACCAAGAUAAAAAUAAGUGGGCAGAGCUGGGGAUUUGCCUCAGUGGUUCCACCACCUGCCUCACAAGUGCAAGGACCCGAGUUCAAUCCCCAGUACCAAAAAAAAAAACAAAAGUGGGCAAUGUGCCACAACCACAAGGUCCUGAGUUAGAUCCCUGGUACCAAAAAACAAAAACAAAACAAGUGGAAAAGGGCAAGGUCAUGAGUUUGAUCCCUGGCACCAGGAAAAAAAAAGUGUAUAUAAUGCUGGAUGCCAGUAAUAGCAGCACUCUGGGAGGCCGAGGCAGGAGGAUUGCAAGCUACAGACCAGCCUGGGCAAUUUAAUCAGAUAGUGAGAACUGCCAGGCGUGGUGGUGCACAACUGCAAUCCCAGCACUCGAGGCUGAGGCAGGAGGAUCACUGUGAGUUCGAGACCAGACUGGGCUACAUAUCGAGUUCCAGGUUAGUCUCAACUACAUAGUGAGACCCUGUCUAAAAAACUCCCCCACCAAAAAAAAUGAUAGUGAAAUCUUGUCUCCAAAUAAAAAAUUUUUAAAAGGUGUGGGGGGCAGUUUAGCAUAAAGGCUCUGGGUUCAAAACCCAGGACAGAAGAAGGAGAGAGGCUGUUCUUUGUCCUGGUUCUUAGGAUGAAUCUUUAAUCUUUGAUCUUUGGAAUUUCCUGAGCAAUAGGAGUGUGUCUUUGUUAUUCUUGGACUCUUUGAUCACAGUUGACUUUCUGCUAAAGAGCUGAGAGGACUGAAGGGUGGCAGCUGGUGGCCAGCAAGCCCAGCUGUGCAAUUAUAGUUUGAGCUUUGAGCCAGCCAGAAGCCCACGGGACGACUAAGUCACGUGGCCAGAGCUGGAUCAUCCCCUCCCUGAAGCCCUAAGAAAACCUGACUCUGAAGCUCAGGGGUGCAUCCUGUUUGAACACAUGGACACGCAGUGUCUCUGGCUGGUCCCCGCUUUAGGAAAAUGGAAAUUAAAGCCAGGCAUCGUGGUGCACUCCUGUAAUCCCAGCACUUGGGAGGCUGAGGCAGGAAGAUCACUGUGAGUACAAGAGUAGCCUGAGCUAUAUAGUGAGCUCCAGGUCAGUUUCAACUACAUAGUGAGGCCCUGUCUCAACCCCCUUCCAAAAGGAAAAUGGAAAUUAAAGCUACAGCACAAAUUUACAGAAAAAUUCUUUAAUUAGAAAGUUAGGAGGGCCGGGGGUUUAGCUCAGCAGUUUGGUGGCCUGCCUUGCAAGCGCAAGGACCGGAGUUCAAUCCCCAGUACCAAAAAAAAAAAAGAAAUUUAGGGGGCCGGGGAUUGAGCUCAGUGGUUCCGGUGCCUGCCUGGCAAGUGCAAGGUCCCAAGUUUGUUCCCUGGUACCAAAAGAAAAGAAAAGAAAGAAAAUUAGAGGGAAGACAGGAAAGGACUCCAGCAAAGGAAGCUGGAUCGGUUACUCUGGUCCAGGGGCACAGACUGGCCACCCAAAGGCAGGAGGCCAGCUUUUAAGGGUGAGCUGGUAGGCCAGGGUCAGACUGACUAUCAUCCCCAUUCUGGUGUCUUAGCUCUGGAAGCCUCACUGCAGACAGAUGGUUCUGUUCCCGGAAAAUGAUUGUCUCUGUGGUGUCUCUGUUACGUGGGGCCCACUUUUCCUGGAAUCCAGAGGUCAUAGGUUUAGGACAAUGGCUCCAGUCUUCUGGGGUAGCUGAGUGUCCCUGUGAAGUUAUCUUAGGGCCCUCAAUCUUGCAGGGGCAUGAGACCCUGUACGAGCACCAGCUUGGAGAGACACCCCCCACAUAACACACCUCUGUGCACACCUGAGACUGCCCCCAGGCAUUCAAGAAGACAUUUCCAGUGACAAGGAAUACAGAGUGAAUCACAGGCCUUGUUUUGCUUUUAUUUACCUAUAGGCAUCUGUUAUGGUCUGUAUCUAGAUGUCCCCACGAAGCCUCAUGUGCUCACCGGGCUUGUCAGAGGUGGCUGGAUCUAGAGGAUGUGUACUGCGAUUAAGGGUGUGUAAUUAUUAAAUCAAUCCACUGCUUGGUCGGCACCAUCCUAGUCCCCCAGUAGUCUGGAUAAGAUAAAAAGGGGAGAAAGAUGCUGCUGAGGUUCCCCUCAUACUCGCUUCUGCUGUCUUCUGCUACCAGGAAUGAUUGCUCCUCUGCCGCGGCCCCCUGCCUUGGAGCCAGCGAUUAUGGACUGAAACCUCUACAAAUUGUGAGCUAAAUAAACCUUUUCCCCUUUAACUUUGGGUUCAGGUAUUUUGUCCCAGUGAUGAAAGAAAAAGUAACUGAGAUAGCAUCUGUAGGCAAGCACAUCCCGACGGGAGUGGGACUCAAAACCCCGAGCGCACAGCACAGUGGGUCAGAAGCCCACUGUCUUAACCACUUGGCCACCCCAUCCUUUUAUCUGGGCGUGACUACUUGUAAGUGUGUUCAUGCAACUCGAUGGACUGCCCACCUCGAGAAUGUGCAUUUGUCUGCGGGUACUCACUAUUUUAAAAAGAUGACAAAGAGAUGAUUAAAAAGAAAAAACUCACCAGGUGUGGGGGCACACCUGUAAUCUCAGCACUCAGGAGGCUGAGGCAGGAGGAUCGCUGUGAGUUCAAAUCCAGCCUGGGCUACACAGUGAGUUCCAGGUCAGUCUCAACCACAUAGUGAGACCCUGUCUCAAAAAACAAAACAAAACAGAAAAGAAAAGAAAAACCUGCUGGGUGUAGUGGUGCACACCUGUAAUCCCAGCACUCUGGAAGGCUGAGGCAGGAGAACAGCCAUGAGUUGGAGGACAGCUUGGACUAUGUAAUGGGUUUGAGGCCAGGAUUAACGCCAUUGUCUCAGAAAAACCAAGAAAGAGCAUAUCAUUCCGAUUAUAUUCGCAUUACAUUUCAAAGGUGAUUAUGAGGGCGGGGAGAUCACCCAGGAGGCCUGACCGGUCUCCACACACAGUGCACACUCGCUGGAGUCGCUGGCCUCCUCCCGCGCAGACAAGGGAGAAAACGAACACGGAGAUGAGCGCGCUGGGUGGGGACCCGACCCCCGGCACACAGUGGAGUCGAAGGAAUGCAGCUUGGUCCUGGGGUCCAGGCUCGGCUCCUUGCCCUCUGAGGGGUCAGCGGAGCCCUGGUCCUCAGCUCCCUUCUGAUCUGCGCCGUCCUCAGCGGCCGCGCGCACCGGGUCGGGCCCUGGACUCCGGGCUCGGGGCGGCCAUUUAUAAAACCAAGAAAAACAAAAUAAA